This is a transfer RNA of 73 nucleotides. It matches the Rfam family "tRNA". From Rfam's summary of the family: Transfer RNA (tRNA) molecules are approximately 80 nucleotides in length. Their secondary structure includes four short double-helical elements and three loops (D, anti-codon, and T loops).
GCCCGCGUAGCUCAGCGGAUAGAGCGCCUGCUUCCGAAGCAGGAGGUACCGAGUUCGAUUCUCGGCGUGGGUA